GGUUAAGUGACUAAGCGUACACGGUGGAUGCCUAGGCAGUCAGAGGCGAUGAAGGGCGUGCUAAUCUGCGAAAAGCGUCGGUAAGGUGAUAUGAACCGUUACAACCGGCGAUACCCGAAUGGGGAAACCCAGUGUGUUUCGACACACUAUCAUGUCAUGAAUACAUAGUGGCAUGAGGCGAACCGGGGGAACUGAAACAUCUAAGUACCCCGAGGAAAAGAAAUCAACCGAGAUUCCCCCAGUAGCGGCGAGCGAACGGGGAGGAGCCCAGAACCUGAAUCGGCUUGUGUGUUAGUGGAAGCGUCUGGAAAGUCGCGCAGCAAAGGGUGAUAGCCCCGUACACUAAAAUGCACAGGUCGUGAGUUCGAUGAGUAGGGCGGGACACGUGACAUCCUGUCUGAAUAUGGGGACCAUCCUCCAAGGCUAAAUACUCCUGACUGACCGAUAGUGAACCAGUACCGUGAGGGAAAGGCGAAAAGAACCCCGGCGAGGGGAGUGAAAUAGAACCUGAAACCGUGUACGUACAAGCAGUGGGAGCACCUUCGUGGUGUGACUGCGUACCUUUUGUAUAAUGGGUCAGCGACUUAUAUUUUGUAGCAAGGUUAACCGUAUAGGGGAGCCGUAGGGAAACCGAGUCUUAACUGGGCGAAUAGUUGCAAGGUAUAGACCCGAAACCCGGUGAUCUAGCCAUGGGCAGGUUGAAGGUUGGGUAACACUAACUGGAGGACCGAACCGACUAAUGUUGAAAAAUUAGCGGAUGACUUGUGGCUGGGGGUGAAAGGCCAAUCAAACCGGGAGAUAGCUGGUUCUCCCCGAAAGCUAUUUAGGUAGCGCCUCGUGAACUCAUCUUCGGGGGUAGAGCACUGUUUCGGCUAGGGGGCCAUCCCGGCUUACCAAACCGAUGCAAACUCCGAAUACCGAAGAAUGUUAUCACGGGAGACACACGGCGGGUGCUAACGUCCGUCGUGAAGAGGGAAACAACCCAGACCGCCAGCUAAGGUCCCAAAGUCAUGGUUAAGUGGGAAACGAUGUGGGAAGGCAUAGACAGCCAGGAUGUUGGCUUAGAAGCAGCCAUCAUUUAAAGAAAGCGUAAUAGCUCACUGGUCGAGUCGGCCUGCGCGGAAGAUGUAACGGGGCUAAACCAUGCACCGAAGCUGCGGCAGCGACGCUUAGGCGUUGUUGGGUAGGGGAGCGUUCUGUAAGCCGUUGAAGGUGGCCUGUGAGGGUUGCUGGAGGUAUCAGAAGUGCGAAUGCUGACAUAAGUAACGAUAAAGCGGGUGAAAAGCCCGCUCGCCGGAAGACCAAGGGUUCCUGUCCAACGUUAAUCGGGGCAGGGUGAGUCGACCCCUAAGGCGAGGCUGAAAAGCGUAGUCGAUGGGAAACAGGUUAAUAUUCCUGUACUUGGUGUUACUGCGAAGGGGGGACGGAGAAGGCUAGGCUAGCCGGGCGACGGUUGUCCCGGUUUAAGCGUGUAGGGGGUGUGACCUGGUAAAUCCGGUUGCAUAUCAACCCUGAGGCGUGAUGACGAUGCACUACGGUGCAGAAGUAGUUGAUGCCCUGCUUCCAGGAAAAGCCUCUAAGCUCUAGGUAACAUUGAAUCGUACCCCAAACCGACACAGGUGGUCAGGUAGAGAAUACCAAGGCGCUUGAGAGAACUCGGGUGAAGGAACUAGGCAAAAUGGUGCCGUAACUUCGGGAGAAGGCACGCUGGCAUGUAGGUGAAGUCCCUUGCGGAUGGAGCUGAAGCCAGUCGAAGAUACCAGCUGGCUGCAACUGUUUAAUAAAAACACAGCACUGUGCAAACACGAAAGUGGACGUAUACGGUGUGACGCCUGCCCGGUGCUGGAAGGUUAAUUGAUGGGGUCAGCCGCAAGGCGAAGCUCUUGAUCGAAGCCCCAGUAAACGGCGGCCGUAACUAUAACGGUCCUAAGGUAGCGAAAUUCCUUGUCGGGUAAGUUCCGACCUGCACGAAUGGCGUAAUGAUGGCCAGGCUGUCUCCACCCGAGACUCAGUGAAAUUGAACUCGCUGUGAAGAUGCAGUGUACCCGCGGCAAGACGGAAAGACCCCGUGAACCUUUACUAUAGCUUGACACUGAACAUUGAGCCUUGAUGUGUAGGAUAGGUGGGAGGCUUUGAAGCGUGGACGCCAGUCUGCGUGGAGCCAUCCUUGAAAUACCACCCUUUAAUGUUUGAUGUUCUAACUCGGCCCCAUAAUCUGGGGUGAGGACAGUGUCUGGUGGGUAGUUUGACUGGGGCGGUCUCCUCCCAAAGAGUAACGGAGGAGCACGAAGGUUAGCUAAUCACGGUCGGACAUCGUGAGGUUAGUGCAAAGGCAUAAGCUAGCUUGACUGCGAGAGUGACGGCUCGAGCAGGUACGAAAGUAGGUCUUAGUGAUCCGGUGGUUCUGAAUGGAAGGGCCAUCGCUCAACGGAUAAAAGGUACUCCGGGGAUAACAGGCUGAUACCGCCCAAGAGUUCAUAUCGACGGCGGUGUUUGGCACCUCGAUGUCGGCUCAUCACAUCCUGGGGCUGAAGUAGGUCCCAAAGGGUAUGGCUGUUCGCCAUUUAAAGUGGUACGCGAGCUGGGUUUAGAACGUCGUGAGACAGUUCGGUCCCUAUCUGCCGUGGGCGUUGGAAGAUUGAGAGGGGUUGCUCCUAGUACGAGAGGACCGGAGUGAACGCACCACUGGUGUUCGGGUUGUCAUGCCAAUGGCAUUGCCCGGUAGCUAAGUGCGGAAAAGAUAAGCGCUGAAAGCAUCUAAGCGCGAAACUUGCCUCAAGAUGAGUCUUCCCUGGGCCUUUAAGGCCCCUGAAGGAACGUUUAAGACUAAGACGUUGAUAGGCUGGGUGUGUAAGUGCAGCGAUGCAUUGAGCUAACCAGUACUAAUGAUCCGUGAGGCUUAACCUU
This 2907-nucleotide ribosomal RNA is filed under the name Serratia nevei. RNAcentral's name for it is "23S ribosomal RNA". It matches the Rfam family "Bacterial large subunit ribosomal RNA". Lineage: Bacteria; Pseudomonadati; Pseudomonadota; Gammaproteobacteria; Enterobacterales; Yersiniaceae. The record is from RNAcentral.